This is a long non-coding RNA of Oncorhynchus keta (chum salmon), 464 nucleotides long. RefSeq lists it as uncharacterized. Lineage: Eukaryota; Metazoa; Chordata; Actinopteri; Salmoniformes; Salmonidae. The transcript is spliced from 4 exons. The record is from RefSeq and is a predicted model, not a curated record.
AUUCAGCUAAGAAGAGACAGAGGCUACAUGUCAGCGGGUCUGGGAUAACACUGAGGCUACAGGUCAGCGAGUCUGGGAUAACACUGAGGCUACAGGUCAGCGGGUCUGGGAUAACACUGAGGCUACAGGUCAGCGGGUCUGGGAUAACACUGAGGCUACAGGUCAGCGGGUCUGGGAUAACACUGAGGCUACAGGUCAGCGAGUCUGGGAUAACACUGAGGCUACAGGUCAGCGGGUCUGGGAUAACACUGAGGCUACAGGUCAGCGGGUCUGGGAUAACACUGAGGCUACAGGUCAGCGGGUCUGGGAUAACACUGAGGCUACAGGUCAGCGGGUCUGGGAUAACACUGAGGCUACAGGUCAGCGGGUCUGGGAUAACACUGAGGCUACAGGUCAGCGGGUCUGGGAUAACACUGAGGCUGUCACACAGUAAACUACUGAUAAGCACACUUCUAAGUUCUCUC